GAUGAAUGCUGGCGGCGUGCCUAAUACAUGCAAGUCGAGCGGUAAGGCCCUUCGGGGUACACGAGCGGCGGACGGCUGAGUAACGCGUGGGAACAUGCCCCAAAGUGAGGGAUAACGCACCGAAAGGUGUGCUAAUACCGCAUAUGGUCUUCGGAUUAAAGGAUUUAUCCGCUUUGGGAGUGGCCCGCGUACGAUUAGAUUGUUGGUGAGGUAACGGCUCACCAAGUCGACGAUCGUUAACUGGUCUGAGAGGAUGAUCAGUCGGACUGGAACUGAGACACGGUCCAGACUCCUACGGGAGGCAGCAGUAAGGAAUCUUCCACAAUGGGCGAAAGCCUGAUGGAGCAACGCCGCGUGCAGGAUGAAGGCCCUCGGGUCGUAAACUGCUUUUAUGAGUGAAGAAUAUGACGAUAACUCAUGAAUAAGCACCGGCUAACUACGUGCCAGCAGCCGCG
This 455-nucleotide ribosomal RNA is filed under the name uncultured bacterium. Its description in RNAcentral is "bacterial SSU rRNA". It matches the Rfam family "Bacterial small subunit ribosomal RNA", at positions 28 to 519 of the family's 1533-position model. The record is from RNAcentral.